This 279-nucleotide ribosomal RNA is filed under the name uncultured bacterium. RNAcentral's name for it is "partial 16S ribosomal RNA". It matches the Rfam family "Bacterial small subunit ribosomal RNA", at positions 506 to 784 of the family's 1533-position model. The record is from RNAcentral.
UGCCAGCCGCCGCGGUAAUACGAAGGGCGCUAGCGUCGUUCGGAAUUAUUGGGCGUAAAGCGCGUGUAGGCGGUUCGUUAAGUCUGAUGUGAAAGCCCGGGGCUCAACCCCGGAAGUACAUUGGAAACUGGCGAACUUGAGUACGGGAGAGGAAAGUGGAAUUCCGAGUGUAGGAGUGGAAUCCGUAGAUAUUCGGAGGAACACCAGUGGCGAAGGCGGCUUUCUGGACCAAUACUGACGCUGAGAUGCGAAAGCGUGGGGAGCGAACAGGAUUAGAUA